GACGAACGCUGGCGGCGUGCCUAACACAUGCAAGUCGAACGGAAAGGCCCUGCUUUUGUGGGGUUCUCGAGUGGCGAAGGGGUGAGUAACACGUGAGUAUCCUGCCCUUGACUGUGGGAUAACUUCAGGAGACUGGGGCUAAUACAGGAUAGGAGCUCCUGCUGCAUGGGGGUGUUUGGAAAGUUUCGGCGGUUGGGGAUGGACUCGCGGCUUAUGAGCUGGUUGGUCGAGUAGUGGCUUACCAAGGCUUUGAUGGCUAGCCGGCAUGGGCGCUGUGCCGGGCACAUGGGGCCUACGGGAGGGACCAGACGGCAACGGUAGGCAGUGGUGGGGAAUAUGACACAGUGGGCGGGAGUGUGAGGCAGCGGCGCCGCGUGCGGGAUGACGGCUUACGGGUGGUAAACCGCUGUCGCCUGUGACGAAGCGUGAGUGACGGUAAUGGGUAAAGAAGCACCGGCUAACUACGUG
This 468-nucleotide ribosomal RNA is filed under the name uncultured bacterium. Its description in RNAcentral is "partial 16S ribosomal RNA". It matches the Rfam family "Bacterial small subunit ribosomal RNA", at positions 28 to 507 of the family's 1533-position model. The record is from RNAcentral.